Molecule: long non-coding RNA, 325 nt
Filed under: Capsicum annuum
Lineage: Eukaryota; Viridiplantae; Streptophyta; Magnoliopsida; Solanales; Solanaceae
Description: long non-coding RNA (CANN_LNC011117)
Source: RNAcentral
UAUGUUCAAGAUGACGAAGUUCUUCAGGGAGCGCGACCAAGUAUGAGAAAGCUAAGCCACCAAAACAAACAUGAUACACAGGUUCAACCGCACUAGUUACGAUAUAUCUGGCAUGAUAGUUUUCUAAGCGUUUGGCUAUAAAUCUCCCAAAAAAUGAGAACAUUGUAAAUAAUCUAUACAGGAAAUUAGAAGAAAAAAGGAGAAGAAUCACAAAAGGAAGACAAAGUAGAAGCUUUGGAAAUGGAAUAAAGACAUAGAAGUUGGGUUGUUGUUAUUGUUUCUUUUUAAUUAACGAUGUGUGCCAAUGUGAUCCUUAAGUUGUGGA